This 536-nucleotide unclassified non-coding RNA is filed under the name Klebsiella pneumoniae. The record is from RNAcentral. Lineage: Bacteria; Pseudomonadati; Pseudomonadota; Gammaproteobacteria; Enterobacterales; Enterobacteriaceae.
GAAAACGAAAAACCACCUGGGGAGGUGGUUUUUCGAAGGUUCAGUAAGUUGGGGAACUUCUGAACCGUGGUAACAGUCUUGUGCGAGACAUGUCACCAAAUCUGUCCUUUCAGUGUAGCCGCAGUCAGGCCACCACUUCAAGAACUCUCGAUACAUCUCUCGCACAUCCUGUCUACCAGUGGCCGUUGUCAAUGGCGAUUAGUCGUGUCUUACCGGGUUGGACUCAAGACGAUAGUUACCGGAUAAGGCGCAGCGGUCGGGCUGAACGGGGGGUUCGUGCACACAGCCCAGCUUGGAGCGAACGACCUACACCGAACUGAGAUACCAACAGCGUGAGCUAUGAGAAAGCGCCACGCUUCCCGAAGGGAGAAAGGCGGACAGGUAUCUGGUAAGCGGCAGGGUCGGAACAGGAGAGCGCACGAGGGAGCCAUCAGGGGGAAACGCCUGGUAUCUUUAUAGUCCUGUCGGGUUUCGCCACCACUGAUUUGAGCGUCAGAUUUCGUGAUGCUUGUCAGGGGGGCGGAGCCUAUGGAAAA